RNAcentral lists this ribosomal RNA (630 nucleotides) under uncultured bacterium. RNAcentral describes it as "bacterial SSU rRNA". The stretch from base 1 to 535 matches the Rfam family "Bacterial small subunit ribosomal RNA", at positions 338 to 873 of the family's 1533-position model. The record is from RNAcentral.
CCUACGGGAGGCAGCAGUAAGGAAUAUUGGUCAAUGGACGAAAGUCUGAACCAGCCAUGCCGCGUGAAGGAUUAAGGCCCUCUGGGUUGUAAACUUCUUUUAUCUGGGACGAAAAAAGGGUAUUCUUACUCACUUGACGGUACCAGAGGAAUAAGCACCGGCUAACUCCGUGCCAGCAGCCGCGGUAAUACGGAGGGUGCAAGCGUUAUCCGGAUUUACUGGGUUUAAAGGGUGCGUAGGUGGGCUUGUAAGUCAGUGGUGAAAUCUCCGGGCUUAACCCGGGAAACUGCCAUUGAUACUAUAGGUCUUGAAUUAUCUGGAGGUAAGCGGAAUAUGUCAUGUAGCGGUGAAAUGCUUAGAUAUGACAUAGAACACCAAUUGCGAAGGCAGCUUACUACGGAUGCAUUGACACUGAGGCACGAAAGCGUGGGGAUCAAACAGGAUUAGAUACCCUGGUAGUCCACGCCCUAAACGAUGGAUACUCGACAUCAGCGAUACACUGUUGGUUGUCUGAGNGAAGACAUAAGUAUCCACCGUACGGUAGGUACGAGUCGCGAGAGUAGUAACGUACAAUAGAAGUUAGUACGGCGUGAGACGUCGACCGAACGGACGACGACGAGGGAGGUUAGG